This 119-nucleotide ribosomal RNA is filed under the name Pteropus alecto (black flying fox). Lineage: Eukaryota; Metazoa; Chordata; Mammalia; Chiroptera; Pteropodidae. The record is from RNAcentral.
GUCUACGGCCAUGCCACUCUGAACAAGCCCAAUCUCAUCUGAUUUUGGAAGCUAAGCAAGGUAGGACCUGGUUAGUACUUGGAUGGGAGACCAACUAGGAAGACCAGGUGCUGUAGGCA